GAAACUAUAUGGUUAUUGUUGUGUCGGGAAAAUGCAAUUUUAUGGUUUUUAACCAAAAAAGAAGAAGGAGAUUUGCAAAACUACCUUUUUUUUACUACUCUUUUGUAACAUACUCUUUCGUGUUGUCCAUUUUUAAAAAUACUCAUUUCCUUGAACAGAAUUACCAAAUUAUCCUCAUCUAAUAGGAACAUGUAAUUGGAAACUAAAAUUUUCCUACCAAAUUUUUUUUUCCCGCCAAAAUUUUUCACAGCUAUAAAAAUCCUUGUAAAUUUUUUUUGGCGAGAAAUAGAUUUACAAGUGAUUUUAAAAGGGUUUUACAAGAUUUACAAGAGAUUUUUAAAGGUUUUAAAAAACUU
RNAcentral lists this small RNA (356 nucleotides) under Arabidopsis thaliana (thale cress). RNAcentral describes it as "ATSL172960". Lineage: Eukaryota; Viridiplantae; Streptophyta; Magnoliopsida; Brassicales; Brassicaceae. The record is from RNAcentral.